GAGAGAGAGAGAGAGAGAGGAUUGCUAAUAUCAUAUUAUUAUUGUUGUUAGGGUAAGCUUUGGCAUGUGUUUGUGGUUGUGGUUAAUAAUUGUGAGGGUAGGCUUUGGUGCAACAGUGAGAGCGACUUUGAGGUCACAAUUUCAAACCACUGAAAUAAGCUCCUUGCAAAUGCAAGGGGAAGGUUGCAUGCCUCUGACCCUCCCUACUCCUGGCUUGUAAUGCCAUUGGCCUUGGGCACUGAGCCCUAGUGUCAGUAUAGUUGUGUUUCUGUUAAUAAGUUGUUUCACUUUGUAGGUGAUGGGACAAGAA
This 310-nucleotide unclassified non-coding RNA is filed under the name Hevea brasiliensis (rubber tree). Lineage: Eukaryota; Viridiplantae; Streptophyta; Magnoliopsida; Malpighiales; Euphorbiaceae. The record is from RNAcentral.